This 497-nucleotide ribosomal RNA is filed under the name uncultured bacterium. RNAcentral describes it as "partial 16S ribosomal RNA". It matches the Rfam family "Bacterial small subunit ribosomal RNA", at positions 28 to 507 of the family's 1533-position model. The record is from RNAcentral.
GAUGAACGCUGGCGGCGUGCCUAACACAUGCAAGUCGAGCGAACGGACGAGAAGCUUGUUCCUUUGAUGUUAGCGGCGGACGGGUGAGUAACACGUGGAUAACCUACUUAUAAGACUGGGAUAAUCUCGGGAAACCGGAGCUAAUACCGGAUAAUAUUUUGAACCGCAUGGUUCAAAAGUGAAAGACGGUUUUGCUGUCUCUAAUAGCUGGAUCCGCGCUGCAUUAGCUAGUUGGUAAGGUAACGGCUUACCAAGGCGACGAUGCGUAGCCGACCUGAGAGGGUGAUCGGCCACACUGGAACUGAGACACGGUCCAGACUCCUACGGGAGGCAGCAGUAGGGAAUCUUCCGCAAUGGGCGAAAGCCUGACGCAGCAACACCGCGUGAGUGAUGAAGGUCUUCGGGUCGUAAAGCUCUGUUAUUAGGGAAGAACAGAUGUGGAAGUAACUGUGGACAUCUUGACGGUACCUAAUCAGAAAGCCCCGGCUAACUACGUG